CAUGUAAAAGUCGGAACUAUGAAACUCGAAACUAGCAAACUCGGAAAUGUAAUUUCCUAGUUCCGAAUAGUAGGUGAACGCGUUAUAAGAACGGACGGGACCCAUACGAUCGGUCACACACACAGUCGCUUCUUUUUGACGUAAUUUUCGGCUGCCAAGCAAAAAUCUUUCUUUUUUUUUCAUUUCGGAAAGCAUUUAGUGAAGGAAGUAACGUUAGCUGGCUAAUACAACGGGCAAGAAUUAGCCACCGAUUAACAAGUAACGGAGGAUGAACCUGGAUCCUGGCUGGCUGCUGCUCCUAUCCAUGUCUCUGGAGGUUUGGUCAGUGCCCCUCGACCGCAAUGCAACCCCCCAGGAAGCACAGCCUCCUCAGGAGGAAAAUGUGGACACGGGCCUAUACUAUGACCGGUAUCUGAGAGAGGUGAUUGAGGUGCUGGAGACAGAUCCCCACUUCAGAGAGAAACUCCAGACUGCCAACACAGAGGACAUCAAGAAUGGUCGUCUCAGUAAGGAGCUGGACCUUGUGGGGCACCAUGUUAGAACUCGUCUGGAUGAGCUGAAGAGACAGGAGGUGUCUCGCCUCAGGAUGCUGCUCAAAGCCAAACUGGACAGCACCAACACACAGAGUUUACAGAUGGACCAUGCCUCUCUGUUGAAGCAGUUUGAACACCUGGAUCCACACAAUCAGAACACCUUUGAGGCCAAAGACCUUGAGCUGCUCAUCUCAACGGCCACUAAAGACCUAGAGAACUACGAUGCAGAGAGACAUGAUGAGUUCAAACGCUAUGAGAUGCUGAAGGAGCACGAGAGACGGGAGUACCUCAAGGGUCUGGACCAGGAGAAGCGAGAGAAGGAGGAGAAGAGGAUGGAGGAGCUGAAGGAUAAACACCGCAAGCACCCCAAGGUCAACGCUCCGGGCAGUGUAGCUCAACUGCGUGAGGUAUGGGAGGAGACUGAUGGACUGGACCCAACAGAGUUUAACCCAAAGACCUUCUUCAAACUGCAUGAUGCGAAUGGAGAUGGUGUUUUAGAUGAGCAGGAACUAGAGGCCCUCUUUGCCAAAGAGCUGGAGAAGGUCUACGACCCAAAGAAUGAGGAGGAUGAUAUGAUGGAGAUGGAGGAAGAGAGGCUGAGGAUGAGGGAGCAUGUCAUGAAGAACGUGGACAUCAAUCAAGAUCGACUCUGUGUCGGUUCACAGCCUGGAAGAGUUCCUUAAAUCAACAGACAAGAAAGAGUUCAAUAACCCUAAAGAAUGGGAUACUUUAGAUGACACCAAGCCGGUGUUUACAGAGGCUGAGCUCCAGCGGUUUGAGGCGGAACUGCGGACCAAGGAGGAGGAGCUCGGUAAGAGGGCGGAGUCUCUUCGUCAGGAGCAGGAUCUGCUGAAGGAGAGGGGCAAGGCCCUGGAGGCCCAGAGACGAGAGUACCAACAGGCAGUGCUAGAGAUGUCUCAGAGGAAGGAGAAACAGGCAGUGGAGGGGCAGCCUCCUACGGGUCCUAACGGAGAACUACAGUUCCACCAAGAGAUGCAGAAACUGGAAGAUCAAGGUGCUAAAGCUCCUGUUGAACAAGAAGUCCAAGAGGCCCAGAAUAACCUGCCUGCAGAACCACCACAGAACCUGCCCAUACACACCUAAUGCAGAACCCUGAUACACAUAGGGUUGCAAUGGGAGGGUAUAUUACUGGAAACUUUCUAAGUUUACCAGUAAACUACCAGAAUUUUUGUAACUUUCAAGGAAUAUAUGUAAUUUUAUCAGAUGACAUCUAGUGUCUUUUUUGGUACUUCAGAUUAUCACAGGUGUUUGUGAGCAUGGUUACAUGCAUACCAUAAUUGGAUUUUGUUUAAAACAUUUACAUGCUUUGCAAGAAGAACAAUUUCCUUAAUAAUCCUGUUUACGCUGAAAUCAGGCUACUGAUGAGACUUCAGAUAAAUUCAGAAAAUCAGCCAUCUAAAAAAAUGUUUGACCACAUUGGCCAAACUUUUUGCAAAACCUUUUUGAUUCUGAGUUGGGACAUAUAAAGUUUGUAUGUGAAAACAAUUUCUAAUAUGCAUACUUUUGUUUUUCCAAAUUCACGCAUAAGAGGGAGUCUUGCGCUACCUGUGCUGGGCGCAAAUCAAAUACACAGCUCGAAUGCAGUAAUUUGAAAGAUUGCCUAGAAAACCAGGUGUUUUAAUUGGUGUAUGCUUACUUAGAUUUUGACCUUACGCCGAUUCAAGAUAAGCAGAGUAAGGUGUUCACGUGACUAUUUCCAUACCUGGCAUAAUGCCAUAAUCAGUUUAAUAUCAAAUUAUUAGUGUGCAUGUAAACAUACUCAUGAAUUAUCUCUGGCCCUCUGUGUGGCCUUAUCAGAUAUAACAUCUAUACAAUAAUUAAAUGAGAUGACAAAGCUGUAAAAUAUCCUAAAUAUAAACCAUCAACGUAGUGAAUGUCAUUGAUGUUUAAUAUGAGGGUUUCAGAAUAAAAUACCCUUUGUUUAUUUUACACUUUUUUAUUUUACUAUGUCAAUAUGUCUUUGUUGUAAAUAUUUGGGGAUCAAACUGGUGGCAGUUGUGAAAAAUACAAUAGUUUGUGGAGUGAAUUGAAAACAAUGCAAUUGUUGAUUAGAUGCUUUUCCAAAAUGAUUUAGGUUAUUUUUCUCUUGAACCAUAUAGUCUAUCCACUAGAAACUCACGGACAUUAUGGUCACAGAUGUAAAAAUAAUAAUACUAUAUAUGAAUAACAUUUUUUUAGUUCAAGUAUAAAUCACCAAAGUUACCAUAGAUGACCUGUUAUUUACCAAAAUUACAGAGGAUUCCAGUAACUUUGGUAAAAUAGUGGUAGCUGUGCAACCCUAAAUACACACAUGCUCUUGCAGGAACACAUCUCUUUCACUGACACACAUAUCCAGAUGGGUACAGCAGAUGACAUCAUACAGCACAAGCGCACAACCCCAGUCAGUCAAGCACAUCGUAUCGUCCCCUGGCACAGUCCCGGUGUUCACCUAUCUCUGUGGUUUACAUUUGAUCUCAAUAAAUUAUUCAACUCACUGGA
Oncorhynchus keta (chum salmon) is the source of this 3032-nucleotide RNA transcript. It is a transcript of the gene named nucleobindin-1-like, with no coding region annotated. NCBI's taxonomy places the organism in Eukaryota, Metazoa, Chordata, Actinopteri, Salmoniformes, Salmonidae. The record is from RefSeq and is a predicted model, not a curated record. The transcript is spliced from 13 exons.